RNAcentral lists this ribosomal RNA (253 nucleotides) under uncultured bacterium. Its description in RNAcentral is "partial 16S ribosomal RNA". It matches the Rfam family "Bacterial small subunit ribosomal RNA", at positions 524 to 776 of the family's 1533-position model. The record is from RNAcentral.
UACGUAGGUGGCAAGCGUUGUCCGGAUUUAUUGGGUUUAAAGGGUGCGUAGGCGGCUUUGUAAGUCAGUGGUGAAAUAUGGCAGCUCAACUGUCAGGGUGCCGUUGAUACUGCGGAGCUUGAGUACAGAUGAGGUAGGCGGAAUUGACGGUGUAGCGGUGAAAUGCUUAGAUAUCGUCAAGAACACCGAUAGCGAAGGCAGCUUACUGGGCUGUAACUGACGCUGAGGCACGAAAGUGUGGGGAUCAAACAGG